RNAcentral lists this ribosomal RNA (246 nucleotides) under uncultured Peptostreptococcus sp. Its description in RNAcentral is "partial 16S ribosomal RNA". It matches the Rfam family "Bacterial small subunit ribosomal RNA", at positions 111 to 354 of the family's 1533-position model. The record is from RNAcentral. Lineage: Bacteria; Bacillati; Bacillota; Clostridia; Peptostreptococcales; Peptostreptococcaceae.
UAACGCGUGGGUAACCUGCCCUAUACACAUGGAUAACAUACUGAAAAGUUUACUAAUACAUGAUAAUAUAUAUUUACGGCAUCGUAGAUAUAUCAAAGUGUUAGCGGUAUAGGAUGGACCCGCGUCUGAUUAGCUAGUUGGUGAGAUAACUGCCCACCAAGGCGACGAUCAGUAGCCGACCUGAGACGGGUGAUCGGCCACAUUGGAACUGAGACACGGUCCAAACUCCUACGGGAGGCAGCAGAC